GGCUGUGUAUAUAUGUGUAAUGUUGAUGGUUAUAAUGUUCCAGGUGUGGUAAUUGCUGUGCCUGGCUGUGUCUGCUGCAACAUUGAUCAACACAGCAACAUUGACCAGUCUGAGAAGUGCUGUGCCAGGCUGUCUGCUGCAACCGUGAUCAACACAGCAACAUUGACCAGUCUGAGGAGUGGAGACAACCAUACUAGUAACAUUUAGUAUUAUACCUGGAGAGGGUUACUCCAGGUAUGUGGAGAUGCAGCAGCUGGUGAUGUCGUCAGAAGUGGGCGGGGCCCACCUGUAAGGCAUUUCCAGGUGCAACAAGACAAAAAAGCUGACAUCACCCCACGUGUCCAACUCAACCUGUGUGAAAAUUCAAUGCUCAUAAAUGGCCUUAAGAUCUGGAACUCCGUCUGAAGCAUUGAAAGGCUCCCUGUCUGCCACCCAUUUCAAAGCUGUUAAAAAACACCAUCUCCUUAGCAUAACUGAAACAGCACUCUGUUAUGUCUAACAAAACCAGCUUUCCUCCAGUUCUGUCCCUGUUCUUCCUUCAACACCUAUACAUAAUUGACUGUUGAAUAUUGUGUGUUGCUGUAUCAACAUGUGAGGACAAAGACUGUUGCAACAUGUAACCAAAAAUACUGCUGGAACAAGUGUAGAAGCCUUCAAGAGGAAACUGGACAAGUAUCUUCACCAGGUGCUGGAUCAACCAGGCUGUGAUGGAGUGGGUCAGGGGACCACCAGCAGUAACAUCCUGGUGGAGCAGGCAAGCACCAGAUGAGCCUGACCCCUGGCUGGGCUCUGGCAGUAGAAUAACACUCAGAACUCAUCAGAGGUUAAUGUUAGUUUAUCAAUAGUGUGUGUGU
This is a non-coding RNA of Cherax quadricarinatus, 854 nucleotides long. Lineage: Eukaryota; Metazoa; Arthropoda; Malacostraca; Decapoda; Parastacidae. The record is from RefSeq and is a predicted model, not a curated record.